Camellia sinensis is the source of this 1419-nucleotide long non-coding RNA. RefSeq lists it as uncharacterized. NCBI's taxonomy places the organism in Eukaryota, Viridiplantae, Streptophyta, Magnoliopsida, Ericales, Theaceae. The record is from RefSeq and is a predicted model, not a curated record.
UCACCCGACAUUUUGAUUUCGACUCAACACCUUUUUUUUGUUCAUGCAAGCAACAUAGUUCAAUAAUGUAACUUUUUUUUUUUUUAAUAUGAAAAAAAACAAGAACAAAUAUGUUAAAUUUCAUCUCUUUUCUAUUUCCACUCUACCAUAAGUGCUUGCAGUUUUCAAUUGCUUCACUUAUGCUGCUAUCUUUCUUGGUGGAGAUGUGAAGUUUCCUUUCAUUGUGUACCAGACUAGUUUUCAAGCUGUUGUGUCAGACUAGUGAGUAUUGGGAGGCUUUUGGCUGUUAAGUAAUGCGAUUAAAGAUAGAUAUCUUUCUUGCAAGUGCUCACAUUAUAAAUUAAACUAUGUUGCUUCCUUCAAUAAUGUUCAUGAAAAUCUUAUAAUUGUUUAUAUUGUUCAUUUAACUUUUUUAACAUACUGGUGUUUUGAUGUCUAAAUUAACUGUUCUUUUUUCUUAUGACACUACACUCUGUGGAGAGAUUUGUUCAGUAGGUGUAUGUACUGCCUGAGUAUUCAUGAUUGUCUAAGCAUGUUGCAUAUUAAAAAUCAAGCACGCUUGAUUAUGUCAUUUGCCACAUAAAAACAGGAUGGUUAGUCUUGUGAGCUUGACAGGUUUCAUUUGACACCAUUUCACAAUAAGCACAAAUUGUAUUUCAUUUUCUGUGUUAUAACAGACUUUUUCCACGGGUAUUACUGGGUAUCACACUUCCUAAAUUAGAUAUAUUGGACACUUUUGAGGAUGUUGAGUAUAAUAGGUGCACUGUUGAGGUUUCUUUGAUGGUAUGUAUGGCUGAAAUCAUCUUAUAUUUUUGUAUGGAUCAUUGGUGCACUUAUAUUACCAUUUCAAACUGGGAGGUAUAAUAUAGAAACUAUUUCAAGGUGACAUUUUUGUUGCUUUCUUCAACUUUUUUUCUUGGUAAAAAUUUGGAUUAGGAAUUUGAUUUAGAAAGGUGGAAGGUUUUAUAUGGUCUUGGUUUUUGUAUAUGCAGGAAGGUUGGUCAGCCUUGAACUUUUAUAUUGAGGAUAAAUUCCAUCGUGCCACUCGUGGUGGACUCGUGGUGGAGCUAGAGGUGUCAAAUCCAUUACCAAUUAUGCCCCGAUGGAGGCACAUGAUUAUUGAUAGGGGUUGGUUGGUUGGUUAAAACUACAAGAGGUGAAAAGCUUAUUGGCUAUGUGCGGUUCAAGAGUGAGGUUGUGGCCUGUGAGAGCCAACAUGAUGAGUUGAAGGCAAAGUUUUUCGAGGAGAGAGUAGCCUUUGAAGCUAAAUACGAGAGCACGCUCCAUAUUAUUUUUUUAUUAAAAUGAGAAAAUAUUAGCAAUUUUAUUUUUAUUUUUUUGUAUUGAGUUAAAAUAUUGUGAUUUAAGGUUUUUGUUUUUGGUUAUGGAAAAUUGGAAAAUGAAUACUGACAUUCAUUA